Molecule: non-coding RNA, 4556 nt
Organism: Nicotiana tabacum (common tobacco)
Lineage: Eukaryota; Viridiplantae; Streptophyta; Magnoliopsida; Solanales; Solanaceae
Source: RefSeq, a predicted model, not a curated record
AGCUACAAGGUAAGGUCGCCGACCUUUCGCUCCUUCCUUCCAUUUUCGCUCAAAAUAGUUUUGUUUAUUUUCUCUUUCUUUUCGCCCAAGCAAACUACAAAUCUAGAUAUUCAAAGAGUUGAAAUUCUCACAAACUAUAUAACUAUUUUUCUUUAUUAAUUUAGAUGUUGAAUUUCAGUAGCAAUUGAAUAUCAUCUCCGUCUGAACGUCGUCGUCUCGUGACCUGCUGUGUUCUGCUUUGUUUCCUUCUCCGUAACCUCUGUAGCGUUUACUUCUUCCGAGACGACGACAAAGACGACUACGUUUAAUCAAUGAAAGCGGAGGUGAAUUAGAUUAGCUUUCUAAGUUUACCUUUGUGCAAAGGAAAUUCGUUGACUUGACAUACCAGCAUUAUGGAGACAACGAGCCUCUGCCGAGAUGGCCACUUAUUGCAGAAUAUGGUUUUGCAUUUCAUUCUCCUUAAUGUGGCUUCUCCGGAAUUUGUUAUGGCAGACUUGCGCGAUACUAGUCUAGGAUAUAGUCUUUCUGUUAAAAAUUUGUAAAUAGUAGUUGCCUGUAGAUAAAUGGAGUCAAGCUGGGUUAAAGUGUUAGAUAAUGGCCGUAGGACUGCUGCAGACAACUCAAAUAGUGAAGUGGCAUCUCAGUGUGUGGCACGUAUAGUUGGAGCCCGCAGUGAGAAGCUUGAGGAGCUAAUAUUUCAACUAAAUUGUAGCUCUUUCUAUAACAAGCUUGGGAAGAGAAAAAGGACUGUUGGCUGUGAGUCUAAUUGCAGAUCACAUCUCAGGAAAUUGAUACCUAAGAACUACUCAAAUUUCAUGAAAAGUGGACUGCCACAACGUGUUUUGUUUCAUCAAAAUGGUGAAUGGAAUGAUUUCCCUGAAGAUAUUAUUCGUUUAGUUAAAGAAGACUUCCGUGCAAAGAAGGCUGUGAUUGAGGUGAAUUGUGGUUGCUUUCAUGUAAUCCUUGAUAUUCUGUAUAUGAUUCAGGUAGAUCUGAUAACUGGUUUAGAGAAACCUAUCGCCUGGAUAGAUGAAGCAGGUGGCUGUUUCUUCCCCGAGUUAUGUCUCGUCAGUUGUAAAAUGCAUGACAACUUUGACAUCCAGUCACAGAGAACUGAUGAUUUCAGCACUGCUGAGCCGGAUAGGGCAACUAAAAUCAAGUUGCAUCUUGAAAUAGACUUUCAUGGACCGAAUAAUUGCAAUUUGGAAGAAUGCGUGGAGGAGUCAAAUGUCAGUUAUAAAAAGACUAAAGUCAAUCCUUUUAAAGAUAAUCAAGAAUUUGCUGAUGAUAAAAUUUCUGAUGCAAAAAUGGAAAUAGUUGUAGACAAUCAACAGAAUCAGGAAAUUCUGUCUCCUAAAUUAGAAGAUGCACUAAAGUUGGUGGAUGCAGAAUCUGUUAAAAAUAUGUUUGUUAAGGGAGUAAAUGGCAUCUAUAAAGUGGAUAUAGUCAAAGUAAGUCAAUGUUCAAGUAAAUAUUUGAGAAGUCGCCUGGAACUGUUUGAGAAGCUGGUUGAGAUAACCCAAAAUUAUCGUGGAAAUUCCAAUGUUCGGUAUGCUUGGCUUGCCGCUUCCAAAGAGCUUGUAUGUACAAUUAUGAAUUAUGGCCUUAUGCAUGGGUCAUCUGGACAGAAUACUAAUCUUGGAGUAGGAGUGCACCUCAUUGCACAGGACCGUGCCUCUAAAAGUGCCGCUAGUUGUGAUGUUGACGAAAAUGGCGUUCGUUACAUGGUUCUUUGUCGUGUCAUUUUGGGCAAUGAAGAACUUUUGCAUUUUGGUACUAAACAAUCUCAUCCGAGUGAUGAGAAAUAUGAUAGUGGUGUUGAUGAUUUGGAGAAUCCUACGUAUUAUACUGUUUGGAAUAUGAAUAUGAAUACACACAUAUAUCCGGAGUAUGUUGUGAGCUUCAGGAUGUCUUCAGGAGCACAAGGAGCUCCAAUAAGGGAAGAAAGUAGGCUUGAUGUCUCCGGAGUUACUUCUCAGGGAUCUGAGGAGCAGUUGGACUUGAAUAAAUUGCCUACGGAAUUGAAUUGUCAGCAAUAUCAGUUUGUAAACAACCUACAGCAAUCCCAUGAUGCUGGUAUAAGUACAAAUAAAGCUCCCAAAUCUCCCUGGAUGCCUUUCUCUAUGUUAUUUGGAGCUAUUUCAGCUAAAGUUGCUCCUAAAGAUAUGAAAUUGGUUCAUGCACACUAUGAUUUGUUCAGGAGCAAGAAAAUUACACGGAAUGAUUUCAUUAAAAAGUUGAGAUUGAUAGUGGGUGAUCAGGUACUGAAGUCUACCGUGACCAAUCUCCAAUGCAAGGUAUGCUAAGAAUGUGCUUCUAUCCAUAUAUAAUUUGGUACCUUAGGCUGGAUGUUUGUUGACAAAAACACGUCUUGAAUUGAUACAUUGAUUUUGAGUUUAAUAGAAGUGGGAACAAUGGUUGCUAUACAUUGAUUUUGAGUUUAAUAGAAGUGGGAACAAUGGUUGCUCUUAGCUUAGGUGGCUUGUGUAUUUGCUUAUGUUGUAUUUCUUUUUUGGUGCAAGAUUCUAUCCUCUAGUUCAAAGUCUAUCGAGACUUCGCUGUUUUCUCUUUAUGGCUGAUCUGAUUGUUUAUGUUAGUGGUGGUACUAACUUUUUAAAAUACACCUGUUGUGGCAAAAUUAUUAUAUUGGUGUCCCUUAUUUUUUAGAUUUUUUUCUUCUAAGAAGUGAAUCUUUGAUAGUGAUGUGAUACUUCUAAUGGGAAUGUUCGUAAGUACCAAGCGCAUUUACAGUGAAGGCAUUAUGAAAUUCCUAUGUGUUUUUUUUAUCAGCAGGGAUGCAACAAGAGGACUACGAAAAAUCCUUUAGUGUUAUUACUACUUUCCCACUCUGCAUUAAUGGAUGAAAUUAUCUUAAAAUCAUAGUAAGAAUGUGGUCAUUUCAAAACCUUUAAUAAGUUAGAAUAUAAACGCUACGUUACAUAGACGUUAUCACUUUGAUUACAUUGUCGCUCAGCUGUUUGAAUUGUCCGGCAGGACAUGCAAUGUAACUGGUGUCAGUAGUAGUAGAAGAAACAUUUUCUUUUGAAUGAUGAUCGACCCUAAUCUCCCCUUAACAAGCGAGGUCAUGUAAAAUUUGUACAUCUUAAAUCCCCCCCCUUUUCAUACUCUUCUUUUCAGCCACUUGAGGUUAUCUUGGACAUCUUUUUCCAGAUAUGUUACUGGAAGAAAUAAUUUGUGCUGCUCUUCCUCUCCCUAAAUAAUUGUCCUGCACCGUCAUUUAAAUUAAAAUACUACUUUCCUGUUGUGUCUUUCAAAAAGGGAUCCACAUUAUAUUGCUUUCCUCCACCAACUAUUACUUUAUUGCUUGGCACUAUAUAAGAAGUCAAUUUGAUUUUUUUUCUCGAAACCAAAAACUCGUAAAUGAGUUCUUUAAGGUGCCAUAUGGUUCCAACUCCUCUUACUGGGCCAUAUGGGAGUACUCAAAUAAAUUUGGCUUAGAGGGGUGUCUUUCCCAUUUCUUUUCUUUUGACAAUAAUAGAUAUGAAGUUUGAUUUAAAAAGUUGUAAUAGAAAAUUCCAAUCAAAGGACGGCAGUGCCAAGCAUUUUUUUGAGUCAUAUGCUGGGAGAAUAUGGGAAUUUUUAUCUUGUUUACGUGACAGCUAUUUCUAAUGAAAUGGAUUAAAAAUAGCUGAUACAAGUCAAUAUGUAAAGUAAAUCUUUUUCUGUUUUAUUUUUGUUUCCCACCCAGUGUUCGAUACCCGCUCUGGGCUUGAGUAAUCCGGAUAUCCGCCGCUUAAGGCCCAUUAAAAGGGUAAGGCAUAUCUUUAGUUACACUGACAAUAGGAAAAAAAUUCAAGGUUGGGACAUUUGUUUCUCUUGUAUCGUGGAUUUUGUAGGGAAUGCAGGCAUGUGAAAUUCUCUAAAACGGUUCACUCCCAUCUUUUCCAUGCAUUCAUUAUAUCAGUUUUUGAUUCAAGAAUAGAGUAGAUCUGUUUUUACUGUACCACGAAAACAAGAUUAGAUCUUGGUAGGAUUCAUAAAAAUUAAUUGAGUGGGGUUAGGUGCAAUUUUGGCUCCAAGUAUACAUUUAUUUAACCUAGGGGAGGGCUGCAUAUUUUUAAUUUUUUAUUAUACUAGAGGAGAUAGUAAAUGUGUUUUACGUUUUACAAUCAAAUCUCAAAUUGGACUUUCUCAGAGGUAUGGGUGAAAUGUGUGAGGUCCCGAAUCCACGAACCUCUUCGUUAAAAGCAUCUUCUUAAGGAAGAUCAGUCACACAUACAACCUUCUAUCACUUACGAUUUGUUGCAAUUUUCAUCUUUUUACCGAUGGCUGAUGGGUGAGGUGAUGAGGCCUGGGUUUAUUUUGUUCUCUGCAUGUUAUUAUUAAUAUAUUCUUGAUGAAAAUUUUGUAUUAAUAUAUAUUUUCUAGUUUUAUCUUUUUUGUUGUCUUCUCUGUUGUCUCUUUUGGCUUCUUUCAUGUGGUGGGAUUUAUUUAAGAUACUGUUGGUAGAUAUAUGGAUAUGCAGUUCGUAGCUGCAGGCUACUGAAUGGAAUUGUAUAGAAAUGGUGAUUUUAGGUCUGAAAAACCUAUCCUUG